CCAGACUCCUACGGGAGGCAGCAGUGGGGGAUAUUGCACAAUGGGGGAAACCCUGAUGCAGCGACACCGCGUGGGUGAAGGAGCACCUCGGUGCGUAAAGCCCUAUCGGCAGGGAAGAAACAGACGGUACCUGACUAAGAAGCCCCGGCUAACUACGUGCCAGCAGCCGCGGUAAUACGUAGGGGGCAAGCGUUAUCCGGAUUCACUGGGUGUAAAGGGAGCGUAGACGGCGACGCAAGUCUGGAGUGAAAGCCCGGGGCCCAACCCCGGGACUGCUCUGGAAACUGCGGCGCUGGAGUACGGGAGGGGCAGGCGGAAUUCCUGGUGUAGCGGUGAAAUGCGUAGAUAUCAGGAGGAACACCGGCGGCGAAGGCGGCCUGCUGGGCCGUGACUGACGUUGAGGCUCGAGAGCGUGGGGAGCAAACAGGAUUAGAUACCCUAGUACA
This 446-nucleotide ribosomal RNA is filed under the name uncultured bacterium. RNAcentral's name for it is "partial 16S ribosomal RNA". It matches the Rfam family "Bacterial small subunit ribosomal RNA", at positions 331 to 794 of the family's 1533-position model. The record is from RNAcentral.